This 448-nucleotide ribosomal RNA is filed under the name uncultured bacterium. RNAcentral's name for it is "bacterial SSU rRNA". It matches the Rfam family "Bacterial small subunit ribosomal RNA", at positions 328 to 793 of the family's 1533-position model. The record is from RNAcentral.
GAACCAGACUCCUACGGGAGGCAGCAGUGGGGAAUAUUGCACAAUGGGGGAAACCCUGAUGCAGCGACGCCGCGUGAGUGAAGAAGUAAUUCGUUAUGUAAAGCUCUAUCAGCAGGGAAGAAAAUGACGGUACCUGACUAAGAAGCCCCGGCUAACUACGUGCCAGCAGCCGCGGUAAUACGUAGGGGGCAAGCGUUAUCCGGAUUUACUGGGUGUAAAGGGAGCGUAGACGGCAAUGCAGGCCAGAUGUGAAAGCCCGGGGCUCAACCCCGGGACUGCAUUUGGAACUGUGUAGCUGGAGUGUCGGAGAGGCAGGCGGAAUUCCUAGUGUAGCGGUGAAAUGCGUAGAUAUUAGGAGGAACACCAGUGGCGAAGGCGGCCUGCUGGACGAUGACUGACGUUGAGGCUCGAAAGCGUGGGGAGCAAACAGGAUUAGAUACCCGCGUAC